UACGUAGGGGGCAAGCGUUGUCCGGAAUCAUUGGGCGUAAAGAGCGUGUAGGCGGCCCGAUAAGUCCGCUGUGAAAGUCCAGGGCUCAACCCUGGGAUGCCGGUGGAUACUGUCGGGCUCGAGUCCGGAAGAGGAGUGUGGAAUUUCUGGUGUAGCGGUGAAAUGCGCAGAUAUCAGGAGGAACACCAAUGGCGAAGGCAGCACUCUGGGACGUGACUGACGCUGAGACGCGAAAGCGUGGGGAGCAAACAGG
RNAcentral lists this ribosomal RNA (253 nucleotides) under uncultured bacterium. Its description in RNAcentral is "partial 16S ribosomal RNA". It matches the Rfam family "Bacterial small subunit ribosomal RNA", at positions 524 to 776 of the family's 1533-position model. The record is from RNAcentral.